This 488-nucleotide ribosomal RNA is filed under the name uncultured bacterium. RNAcentral's name for it is "bacterial SSU rRNA". It matches the Rfam family "Bacterial small subunit ribosomal RNA", at positions 28 to 507 of the family's 1533-position model. The record is from RNAcentral.
GAUGAACGCUAGCUACAGGCUUAACACAUGCAAGUCGAGGGGCAGCACAGUGUAGCAAUACGACGGGUGGCGACCGGCGCACGGGUGCGUAACGCGUAUCCAACCUUCCCGUUACUCCGGGAUAGCCUUCCGAAAGGGAGAUUAAUACCGGAUGGUGUUUGAAGUCCGCAUGAAAUUCAAACUAAAGAUUUAUCGGUAACGGAUGGGGAUGCGUACCAUUAGAUAGUAGGCGGGGUAACGGCCCACCAUGGCGACGAUGUCUAGGGGGUUCUGAGAGGAAGGUCCCCCACACUGGAACUGAGACACGGUCCAGACUCCUACGGGAGGCAGCAGUGAGGAAUAUUGGUCAAUGGCCGGAAGGCUGAACCAGCCAAGUAGCGUGAAGGAAGACUGCCCUAUGGGUUGUAAACUUCUUUUGUUCGGGAAUAAAGUGCAGUAUGUAUACUGUUUUGUAUGUACCGUUCGAAUAAGCAUCGGCUAAUUCCGUG